GAGUUUGAUCCUGGCUCAGGACGAACGCUGGCGGCGCGCCUAACACAUGCAAGUCGAACGAGCGAGAGAGAGCUUGCUUUCUCAAGCGAGUGGCGAACGGGUGAGUAAUGCGUGAGCAACCUGCCUUUCAGAGGGGGACAACAGUUGGAAACGACUGCUAAUACCGCAUGAUAUAUUCGGAUGGCAUCGUCUGAAUAUCAAAGAUUUAUCGCUGAAAGAUGGGCUCACGUCUGAUUAGUUAGUUGGUGAGGUAACGGCUCACCAAGACUGCGAUCAGUAGCCGGACUGAGAGGUUGAACGGCCACAUUGGGACUGAGAUACGGCCCAGACUCCUACGGGAGGCAGCAGUGGGGAAUAUUGGGCAAUGGGCGAAAGCCUGACCCAGCAACGCCGCGUGAAGGAAGAAGGUCUUCGGAUUGUAAACUUCUUUUAUCAGGGACGAAGUAAGUGACGGUACCUGAUGAAUAAGCCACGGCUAACUACGUGCCAGCCGCCGCGGUAAUAC
Molecule: ribosomal RNA, 505 nt
Filed under: uncultured bacterium
Lineage: Bacteria
Description: bacterial SSU rRNA
Rfam family: Bacterial small subunit ribosomal RNA
Source: RNAcentral